This is a long non-coding RNA of Meriones unguiculatus (Mongolian gerbil), 986 nucleotides long. RefSeq lists it as uncharacterized. The transcript is spliced from 5 exons. Lineage: Eukaryota; Metazoa; Chordata; Mammalia; Rodentia; Muridae. The record is from RefSeq and is a predicted model, not a curated record.
UCUGGGCCUUGCUCACACGCCUCUUGGCAUGUCUGUGUCUAGGGGUUACAGAUCUCCAGUCCAGGCACCUCCGCGACGGCGCUCCGGGUUGUGUGUCUCUCCUUGUCUAAGGGCAGAGGAGAUCUCUCCCUCUCCCUCCCUUCCUCCCCCCUCUGUCUCUCUAUCCCCCACCCCUCCAAAGGCUCUUGCGAGACGGAGGAGGGCUUUGCCUGCGCCCCAGGCUUCUGCCGGCAGUCAGAAGGCUCCCCGCAGAGGCACAAGCCAUGUUGAUUUUACGGAGAAGGCUGCUAUGCACAUUUCACUGCUGAUUUAUUGGUUUUUAACUAGAUCCUUAUGCUGGGCUAAAAAAGCCAUCUUGCACUUUGUAAGGCUCUGCUGACUGCUGCUGAAAAUGACACAGGGGCUUCUCCUUCCCUCCCCCACCCCAGCCCGUCGAAAGGGCCAUGGUGGAGGUGAAAGCCUAGGAUGGGAGCUAGGGCCCCUCUUCUGAGCCGGGAGCCUUCUGCUGCAGCCUCCCAGCCGCUGACUACCUGCGGUGUGCAAUGGGCUUAUGGAUCAGAUGUGAAUUAUCGGCUACUUCUCCAGUGCUACGCCUGCCUGCCUGAUGCUAUGCUCCCUGCCGUGAUGUUCACGGACUAACUCUCUGAACUGUGCUUAUCAUGUGAGAACACACCACACCCAAGCAACUCUUUGCAAACGCUGUCCCUCUGCAGCCCUUUCUCCUGCUCCUGUUUGGAUGAUGGAGUGAAAGACCACGUCCUUCAAGAAACGCUCCAGAAUCUUAUCGCAGCUGAAGAAGAGAGCCUGCUGCACGGCAUUGUCCUGAAGACUCAGAGUGCCUACACCAAGUGCCUAACUUGGUGUAGAGAUUAUGGCCCCUGAAGAUGUGAGCUCAGAAUUUCCUGCUUCUGCUGCCAUGCCUCCCGCUGGCUGCUGUGCCUUCCUGCCCUCAUCAAUGCCCAUCCCUCUGGAAUUGUAAGGAAAAU